Panicum virgatum (switchgrass) is the source of this 952-nucleotide long non-coding RNA. RefSeq lists it as uncharacterized. The record is from RefSeq and is a predicted model, not a curated record. The transcript has 2 exons. NCBI's taxonomy places the organism in Eukaryota, Viridiplantae, Streptophyta, Magnoliopsida, Poales, Poaceae.
CUGAGCUUCCCGUGCGCCCCCUGGCCCGAUGCCGUCCCCGUACAAUCGAACGGCGAAGGCUCCCUACGGCGCGCGGCUCCGUUUCCAGCUGGAGAUGCAGCUCGGCUCACUUCCUUUUCCUAGUCCUCAGCUCGCUUCCUUUUCUUCACUCCUCUUCUUUCCGGAGCGCCGCAGAUCGAGAUCCUUGGCCGGAGCCGCCGCGGAUCCCCAUCACCGGAGCUGCAGUAGAUCCCCAUCACCGGAGCUGCAGCAGAUCCCCAUCGCCGGAGCCACCGCGUUGCCCGCUCCCGGCGGUGCCCCCGCUCCCGCGCGCCUGAGCCGCCCUCCUCGUUGCCCGUCACUGCUGCUUCCCGUCGGGCCGCCAUCCCCGUUGCCCACGGCCACUCCACCCGGCGGCGCCUCCGCCCGCCCGGCCCUGCGUCGCCCGCGGCCGCUUCCCUCCGCCUCCGCUGCCUCGCCCGCGGUCGGGCGCGGCUGCUGCUACCUCACCGUCCAGUCGCCCUCCCCAUUCGGCCUCUGUUUGCUACCUUGUUUGCUGAAUUGGCUAGGUCCAUUCCAUUGAUGUGGAUUCAAGUUUAGCAGUUACCUCUAGUUGGUAGGCAUGAGGCACCCAACGCAUCAUCGAAGAUGGUGGCGACACCAUGAAGUCGGUCCAUGGGCAAGGAAGAGAGAAGGAUGUAACUGCCCGACAUGACAUGAACUAGGGACGCAACAUUGAUGAAGCUUCUUGUGCCAGCCUAGAUGAUAUUGGUGAAGAUUUAUUUUUCUUGUGCCAGCAGCUGUGAAGAGUGCAGACGGUUGUGUUAACGGGAAUUGUAGGUUGUAGUUGUACUACUAGAGAAGAUUGCUGUGUAUGGAUGUAAUAGUGGUUCACAUGAAUAAUGUAAAAUGUGAUUUUUCUCUGAAUAAUUUGAUUGUUUGCCUGAAAUGUAUUAUGAACUAUUGACUCGGA